This 72-nucleotide transfer RNA is filed under the name Bos taurus (domestic cattle). It matches the Rfam family "tRNA". Rfam says of the family: Transfer RNA (tRNA) molecules are approximately 80 nucleotides in length. Their secondary structure includes four short double-helical elements and three loops (D, anti-codon, and T loops). The record is from Rfam by way of RNAcentral. RNAcentral also lists the same sequence under 2 other names. Lineage: Eukaryota; Metazoa; Chordata; Mammalia; Artiodactyla; Bovidae.
UCCCUGGUGGCUCAGAUGGUAAAGCAUCUGCCUGCAAUGCAGGAGACCCAGGUUCAAUUCCUGGGUUGGGAA